UGGAAUGUCUCGAGAAACAAUCUUCACUUGUCCUCCACUUACGUAAAGCCUAAGCGCUUGAACGGGUUAUCACCAAGUCGGAGAGAUGGAUCAAACCCAAGCGGUAUAGGACGUCUACGUUCUUCAGUCGUCCUCCACUUACGUAAAGCCUAAGCGCUUGAGCGGGUUAUCACCAAGUCGGAGAGAUGGAUCAAACCCAAGCGGUAUAGGACGUCUACGUUCUUCAGUCGUCCUCCACUUACGUAAAGCCUAAGCGCUUGAGCGGGUUAUCACCAAGUCGGAGAGAUGGAUCAAACCCAAGCGGUAUAGGACGUCUACGUUCUUCACUUGUCCUCCACUUACGUAAAGCCUAAGCGCUUGAGCGGGUUAUCACCAAGUCGGAGAGAUGGAUCAAACCCAAGCGGUAUAGGACGUCUACGUUCUUCACUUGUCCUCCACUUACGUAAAGCCUAAGCGCUUGAGCGGGUUAUCACCAAGUCGGAGAGAUGGAUCAAACCCAAGCGGUAUAGGACGUCUACGUUCUUCACUCGUCCUCCACUUACGUAAAGCCUAAGCGCUUGAGCGGGUUAUCACCAAGUCGGAGAGAUGGAUCAAACCCAAGCGGUAUAGGACGUCUACGUUCUUCACUCGUCCUCCACUUACGUAAAGCCU
Molecule: long non-coding RNA, 651 nt
Filed under: Prunus persica (peach)
Lineage: Eukaryota; Viridiplantae; Streptophyta; Magnoliopsida; Rosales; Rosaceae
Description: long non-coding RNA (PPER_LNC002970)
Source: RNAcentral